Molecule: non-coding RNA, 30 nt
Filed under: Mus musculus (house mouse)
Lineage: Eukaryota; Metazoa; Chordata; Mammalia; Rodentia; Muridae
Source: RNAcentral
UCCAAAGGGAAGGUUAAGAUGAUUCACCCA